UGGGGAAUUUUGCGCAAUGGGGGAAACCCUGACGCAGCAACGCCGCGUGAGUGUUGAAGGCCUUCGGGUCGUAAAGCUCUGUCAGAGGGAAAGAAGUGUAGUAGGGAUAAUAUUCCUAUUACUUGACGGUACCCUCAAAGGAAGCACCGGCUAACUCCGUGCCAGCAGCCGCGGUAAUACGGAGGGUGCAAGCGUUGUUCGGAUUUAUUGGGCGUAAAGCGCGUGUAGGCGGUUUUUUAAGUCUGAUGUGAAGCCCCGGGCUCAACCUGGGAAGUGCAUUGGAAACUGGGAGACUUGAAUACGGGAGAGGGUAGUGGAAUUCCUGGUGUAGGAGUGAAAUCCGUAGAUAUCAGGAGGAACACCGGUGGCGAAGGCGGCUACCUGGACCGAUAUUGACGCUGAGACGCGAAAGCGUGGGGAGCAAACAGGAUUAGAUACCCUGGUAGUCCACGCCGUAAACGAUGAGUACUAGGUGUCGCGGGUAUUGACCCCUGCGGUGCCGCAGCUAACGCAUUAAGUA
This 520-nucleotide ribosomal RNA is filed under the name uncultured Pseudomonadota bacterium. RNAcentral's name for it is "bacterial SSU rRNA". It matches the Rfam family "Bacterial small subunit ribosomal RNA", at positions 355 to 866 of the family's 1533-position model. Lineage: Bacteria; Pseudomonadati; Pseudomonadota. The record is from RNAcentral.